RNAcentral lists this ribosomal RNA (340 nucleotides) under Apriona germarii. Its description in RNAcentral is "SSU rRNA". It matches the Rfam family "Eukaryotic small subunit ribosomal RNA", at positions 583 to 885 of the family's 1831-position model. Lineage: Eukaryota; Metazoa; Arthropoda; Insecta; Coleoptera; Cerambycidae. The record is from RNAcentral. RNAcentral also lists the same sequence under 1 other name.
UUCCAGCUCCAAUAGCGUAUAUUAAAGUUGUUGCGGUUAAAAAGCUCGUAGUCGAAUCUGUGUCCCGCGCCGCCGGUUCAUCGUUCGCGGUGUUAACUGGCGUGUCGCGGGACGUCCUGCCGGUGGGCUUAGCUCGCAAGAGCGGCCCAACUCAAUCCCGCCGCGGUGCUCUUCACUGAGUGUCGAGGUGGGCCGGCACGUUUACUUUGAACAAAUUAGAGUGCUUAAAGCAGGCUAAAACUUCGCCUGAAUACUGUGUGCAUGGAAUAAUGGAAUAGGACCUCGGUUCUAUUUUGUUGGUUUUCGGAACCCCGAGGUAAUGAUUAAUAGGAACGGAUGG